UGUGAACUCGAAGAGUAGGGCGGGACACGUGGUAUCCUGUCUGAAUAUGGGGGGACCAUCCUCCAAGGCUAAAUACUCCUGACUGACCGAUAGUGAACCAGUACCGUGAGGGAAAGGCGAAAAGAACCCCGGCGAGGGGAGUGAAAAAGAACCUGAAACCGUGUACGUACAAGCAGUGGGAGCACCUUCGGGUGUGACUGCGUACCUUUUGUAUAAUGGGUCAGCGACUUAUAUUCUGUAGCAAGGUUAACCGUAUAGGGGAGCCGCAGGGAAACCGAGUCUUAACUGGGCGUUAAGUUGCAGGGUAUAGACCCGAAACCCGGUGAUCUAGCCAUGGGCAGGUUGAAGGUUGGGUAACACUAACUGGAGGACCGAACCGACUAAUGUUGAAAAAUUAGCGGAUGACUUGUGGCUGGGGGUGAAAGGCCAAUCAAACCGGGAGAUAGCUGGUUCUCCCCGAAAGCUAUUUAGGUAGCGCCUCGUGAACUCAUCUUCGGGGGUAGAGCACUGUUUCGGCUAGGGGGUCAUCCCGACUUACCAACCCGAUGCAAACUACGAAUACCGAAGAAUGUUAUCACGGGAGACACACGGCGGGUGCUAACGUCCGUCGUGAAGAGGGAAACAACCCAGACCGCCAGCUAAGGUCCCAAAGUCAUGGUUAAGUGGGAAACGAUGUGGGAAGGCACAGACAGCCAGGAUGUUGGCUUAGAAGCAGCCAUCAUUUAAAGAAAGCGUAAUAGCUCACUGGUCGAGUCGGCCUGCGCGGAAGAUGUAACGGGGCUAAACCAUGCACCGAAGCUGCGGCAGCGACACUAUGUGUUGUUGGGUAGGGGAGCGUUCUGUAAGCCUGCGAAGGUGACCUGUGAGGGUUGCUGGAGGUAUCAGAAGUGCGAAUGCUGACAUAAGUAACGAUAAAGCGGGUGAAAAGCCCGCUCGCCGGAAGACCAAGGGUUCCUGUCCAACGUUAAUCGGGGCAGGGUGAGUCGACCCCUAAGGCGAGGCCGAAAGGCGUAGUCGAUGGGAAACAGGUUAAUAUUCCUGUACUUGGUGUUACUGCGAAGGGGGGACGGAGAAGGCUAUGUUAGCCGGGCGACGGUUGUCCCGGUUUAAGCAUGUAGGCUGGUUAUCCAGGCAAAUCCGGAUAAUCAAGGCUGAGGUGUGAUGACGAGGCACUACGGUGCUGAAGUAACAAAUGCCCUGCUUCCAGGAAAAGCCUCUAAGCAUCAGGUAACAUCAAAUCGUACCCCAAACCGACACAGGUGGUCAGGUAGAGAAUACCAAGGCGCUUGAGAGAACUCGGGUGAAGGAACUAGGCAAAAUGGUGCCGUAACUUCGGGAGAAGGCACGCUGGUGUGUAGGUGAAGUCCCUGCGGAUGGAGCUGAGACCAGUCGAAGAUACCAGCUGGCUGCAACUGUUUAUUAAAAACACAGCACUGUGCAAACACGAAAGUGGACGUAUACGGUGUGACGCCUGCCCGGUGCCGGAAGGUUAAUUGAUGGGGUUAUCCGUAAGGAGAAGCUCUUGAUCGAAGCCCCGGUAAACGGCGGCCGUAACUAUAACGGUCCUAAGGUAGCGAAAUUCCUUGUCGGGUAAGUUCCGACCUGCACGAAUGGCGUAAUGAUGGCCAGGCUGUCUCCACCCGAGACUCAGUGAAAUUGAACUCGCUGUGAAGAUGCAGUGUACCCGCGGCAAGACGGAAAGACCCCGUGAACCUUUACUAUAGCUUGACACUGAACAUUGAGCCUUGAUGUGUAGGAUAGGUGGGAGGCUUUGAAGCGUGGACGCCAGUCUGCGUGGAGCCAACCUUGAAAUACCACCCUUUAAUGUUUGAUGUUCUAACGUUGGCCCCUGACCGGGGUUGCGGACAGUGUCUGGUGGGUAGUUUGACUGGGGCGGUCUCCUCCCAAAGCGUAACGGAGGAGCACGAAGGUUAGCUAAUCCUGGUCGGACAUCAGGAGGUUAGUGCAAUGGCAUAAGCUAGCUUGACUGCGAGCGUGACGGCGCGAGCAGGUGCGAAAGCAGGUCAUAGUGAUCCGGUGGUUCUGAAUGGAAGGGCCAUCGCUCAACGGAUAAAAGGUACUCCGGGGAUAACAGGCUGAUACCGCCCAAGAGUUCAUAUCGACGGCGGUGUUUGGCACCUCGAUGUCGGCUCAUCACAUCCUGGGGCUGAAGUAGGUCCCAAGGGUAUGGCUGUUCGCCAUUUAAAGUGGUACGCGAGCUGGGUUUAGAACGUCGUGAGACAGUUCGGUCCCUAUCUGCCGUGGGCGCUGGAGAAUUGAGGGGGGCUGCUCCUAGUACGAGAGGACCGGAGUGGACGCAUCACUGGUGUUCGGGUUGUCAUGCCAAUGGCACUGCCCGGUAGCUAAAUGCGGAAGAGAUAAGUGCUGAAAGCAUCUAAGCACGAAACUUGCCCCGAGAUGAGUUCUCCCUGAGACUUUAAGUCUCCUGAAGGAACGUUAAAGACGAUGACGUUGAUAGGCCGGGUGUGUAAGCGCAGCGAUGCGUUGAGCUAACCGGUACUAAUGAACCGUGAGGCUUAACCUU
This 2545-nucleotide ribosomal RNA is filed under the name Klebsiella pneumoniae. RNAcentral's name for it is "bacterial LSU rRNA". It matches the Rfam family "Bacterial large subunit ribosomal RNA", at positions 398 to 2925 of the family's 2925-position model. Lineage: Bacteria; Pseudomonadati; Pseudomonadota; Gammaproteobacteria; Enterobacterales; Enterobacteriaceae. The record is from RNAcentral.